Long non-coding RNA from Gorilla gorilla gorilla (western lowland gorilla), 2715 nucleotides. RefSeq lists it as uncharacterized. Lineage: Eukaryota; Metazoa; Chordata; Mammalia; Primates; Hominidae. The record is from RefSeq and is a predicted model, not a curated record. The transcript is spliced from 3 exons.
AGUGAGGGCGGCCCAGCUUCCCUCGGAUGGCCACGGGGCUCGAGCACAGCCAGGCCCUCCCACCGGGCUAGGGGAGAGUGGGCGGCCAUCCCUGGGGACAGGGAGCAGGGAGAAGCCGCAGCCCAGGUGCGGGGAGGGCUGUCCACCCGCCUGAAACCUGCUUGGGACUGUGUGCAUUGUUGCCCCAGGCACUCCUAGAGGUCGGGCCAAGGAAAACACACGUUCAAUUUCAGAAGUAAGAGCAAGGACGGAACGCGGCUUCCUGAGGAAAUGGAAAUGCUAACACUGGGGCUCUUGGAAAUGAAACCACAUGUUGAUUGUAAAGGUCUGAAACAAUAAACAGAGAAGUGAUUCGAAAACAGCUUUCUCUUAAAAAUUCCUGCCAAAGCUGGAAAAAACAAUCGGGCGUUUGCUCCGAGGAAAAAGCUCUCUGACGUUUGAAAGGCGAGAUGGCAUCACGGAUAACGGCAGAGCUUCCCAGCCCGCCCCUUGGAAGGCGCAGGAGAGGAAAAAGGAAACAUUUGAUUUUCGAGUUUUUACAAAUGAGGGGAAAACAGCUCUCCUAAAAGCACAGCUGCAAAAUCACUGAGAUCAGGAAGAGCCUGGAAAGCAAAGAACUGUGACUGCCAGACAGCUCUCCUUUCCGUGCGGGGCCUGGGGAAUGCGCAGGUGCUCAGAAGAACUUCGGGUUUGUUUUACCCUGCGUGGCCUGUGGCGGGACCUUCCAGUGAGCCGGGACGGGGCACCUGGGACAGCCUUGGUCAGUGAUGACCACUGUUUGUGUCUUGAACACCCAGGGCCUUUCCUCACCUGUGCUCCGCCUAAAAGCACCUGGGACACCAUCCACUUAGAAGGACAUUCUUUCUACAACCUUUUUUCUCCUUGUAAAGAAAUUUCAUCCAGAUACAUGCAGUUUUAGAAAGUGAAACUCCUAGGCCACACCCAGACCGACUGCACCAAAUCUCCAGGGCGUCAGUAUUUUCUUAAAAAGCUCCCUAGGUGAUUCCAACACUGCAUUAACUGUAAGGUCCAGUUCACCAUUUUAUCCCCACCACCUGGAUCAGUGCCCGGCCCAGGCAGGAGCACAGGUGUUUAUCUAAAAUGAAUGAAUGAUUGAACAAACCAACAAAUAGAUCACUGUGACAGAGAGGCCACAGGCUUCCAAACUGGGGAGUAUAUAUCUCCAGCCCACGUUCUCCUGAUGCUCUGCCAGAAGUGAAGGCUUCCCUGAACCAAGUAGAUGAUGAGGGCUGUGCCUAAGGUGGCUUCUGUCCAAGGGAACGAAAGGGUCAGCAUGGCUCCCUGGGCUCAGGUCCCUGGGCAGAGGCAAGGCUGGGCCAGGCUGCCUGCUGCUCAGAGCUGCAGCACAGUAAGCCCAGAGCCCCCAGAAGUGAGGUGGUCUGAGCCCAGGGGCCCUGCCUGGCACGCCCCUUUCGAGAAAGCACAUCGGUGCAUGGGGCUGGGGCUAGGAGAUUGGGCUUUGCGUCCAGCUCCACAUCUGACCCUGCAUGUCCUCUGACCCAUCAUGUCCUCUGACCCAUCAUUCUUCUCUCUGGACCUUGGUUUCCCCUUUUACAAAAUAGGGCUGAUGAAAAAGGGGGGCUUAAAUGCCUCCCAUUUUGGUAGCUUCACAGGGGGGCUGUGAGCCUGGUGGGAAUGGAGACAUCACAGGGCAUGGGGCCUUUCUCCAGUGUCAGAGCCCCAAGGAGGGUUCACCACUGCUGGGGAUCUUUAAACCCACCCAGCUGCCAUCCCCUGCCCCCAGCACCACCCUGCACCUGCAACGUGGCAAUACGGCUGGAGCAACACAAGCACGAGUUUAAAGGCAGCAUUUCGCAGAGGGGUGGGGCUCUGAGGGGCACCAAGGAGCCCUGGCUUUCAUUUCAGGAAAUCUGGGAGUCUUUACUUCCACUCAGUGCCUCAGUCUCUCCCAAGUCCAUUUCAGGUUGACUUCAUAUGGCAAUGCCCAGCCCAUCCUUCCUGCACACUGCCCUGGCCUGCCAGGGAGGACUGGGGGCCCAUCUUGCCUUCCAGGGCCCGGGGUCUGGCUUCCCCUGGAGCUAUGAGCUAAUCAAGCAAAAGCCAUGGAGGGCCGGGCCAGGAAACGGCUGGGCAAGCCAGGGACCAAGGCAAAUAGCAGCUUCCAGGCAGACCUGGCUCUUCCUGCCCUGGCCCUGCCGAGGCGCCUGGCUUCUUCCUGGGCCACUGGCCGGGGUCUAGCGAGGAUCACGGCUGUGCUGGCCAAAAGCAGCUGGAGAAAUGCAUGCCUCAGAAGGUGGAGGCAACUGAUGGUCUCCUGAAAGUCCUGAUGUCUCAGGGUCCCAAGACCCCCAGCCACCCUUAAUCCUCCCAACAUGAUACCCAUCAAGGGCUCAGCCAGCCCUGGUGUGUGCACUCACAGGGACAGGAAGCACUUCACCUGCAGAGCAUCCAAUACUCUUUAUCAACACCAUGCUGUGAGGCCAUUCCCAUUUCGAGACAAAGCCUGUCUUUCUGUUAUACUGCCCUUUGGCUGUCAUUCUUGGGAUGUAGAGGACAAAUGUUUGAAAGCAAUUAUUCUGUGCUCUUAGAGUCUUAGAUACAGCUCCGAUUCUCCCAGCCAACCAUGUGACCACACCCCAACCCUGUCUGCCCAAGAACAGGGUGCAGUGGGUUUAACUCGCUGGGACCCAGUCUGGGUCUUUGGUGAUUAAAUGUCAAAUGACAUCAACUCUU